UUCGGGACACAAGAGAGCUCAACAAAGGGUUAUGGGCCCAGCCAUAACAGCGUUACUGUGAAACUGUGCUAAAGAACAGGAGAUCCAGAAAGUGCAUUACAGCAGCCGAAAGGAGUAAGAAAAGAAUGGCAGCAUUUGGAGGCGCAUCUUUUCCCUUGGAGAGGCUGGGGAGCACCAACUACUCCUACUGGAAGGUAAAGACAGAAAUGCUACUGGUGAAGGAGGGCGUGUGGCACACAGUUGCGGAAGACCCCCCUGCAGCCCCACCGGCAGAGUGGAUAAGGGCGGCAGAGAAAGCUAAAGCUCUGAUUAUCCUAGCUCUGGAAAAUGAACAGUUAAUACAUGUAAGAGGCUUAAACACUGCGAAGGAAGUGUGGAAUGCAUUAAAAACUGUACAUGUGAGAAAAACUGCGGGCUCUAAGGUCCUACUUGCUAAAACACUUUACCAAACACGUUACAAAGAAGGCGAGUCCAUGCAGAGGCAUUUACAGAACUUACAACGUUUGUUUGCCGAACUGCAAGAAAUGAACAUGCAACAUACACAGGAACAGAUGGCAUACAUUACGCUGUCAACUUUAAAUGAUUCCUGGGAUGGAAUAAUAAGCGCGUUAGAAAGUUUGCCAGACGCGGAGCUCAGUGUUAAUUACAUCACAAACAAACUACUGCAAGAAGCAGAACGCCGACAAGAGAAAAGCAAACAGAGCAACAAAGAAAACCCGGAGCGGAAUGAGCAAGGAUCCAUGGCAUAUGGAGUGAGACGCUGCUACACUUGUGGUUCCACAAAUCAUCUACGCAGACAUUGCCAGGCUGAGAAGCAAAGAAGAACACAACAAUGCGAGAAAGACCCAUUUAAAGUGCAUGUCGUAGGAACAAAAGACAAAGACAAUGAACUGAACAGAGCAUCCUGGACUAUUGACUCAGGAGCUAGUCAUUUUUUGGCAAAUAAUGAAAAACAGUUUAAAACCCUGACCCCAACAACGAACCAGAACGUUUACUUGGCGGAUGGAAGCUGUCGCGAAGUAAAAAGGGAUCCAGUGUCUUUGGAGGAUGUGGCUGUGCAGUUCACGGAAGAGGAGUGGGCUUUGCUGAAUCCUGACCAGAGAGCUCUGCAUAGCGAAGUCAUGGAGGGGAUUUGUGGGACUCUGUCCUGUCUUGAAGAUGAUGAAUGGAAAGCCAAGAGGAAGGAAGAACUAUGUGGAAAGGAGAUACAGGAAAGAGGCAGAUCUGAAAACAGGGAAGAGCAGAGGAGGAAACCUGAAGCAGAAGAGAAAAGGAGGAAUAAAUCUUGCGCUUCUCAGGGCAGUGGCUACCAUGAAACUGCCAUCCGAGAAAAAACAGAUCAAGGAAGAAAAAGAAAUAAAUAUUUUCAUUGUUCGAAAAGUCUGAAUUCUAAAAGAAAGUGUAAAAAAGCCCACUACAAAAACCAGAAAAGGGAGAAAGCAUAUCAAUGUUUGGAAUGUGAAAGGAGGUUUAGCUGCAAGGCAAGUCUCAUUUUGCAUCAAAGAAUGCACACCGGUGAGAAACCAUAUAAGUGCUUAGAAUGUGGAAACAGCUUUCGUCUGACUUGCCAUCAAAGAAUUCACACUGGGGAGAAACCAUAUAAGUGGUUGGAAUGUGGAAAGAGCUUCAGGUGGAAACAACAACUCGCUGCCCACCAAAGUAAUCACACUGGGGAGAAACCGUAUAAAUGUUUGGAAUAUGGGAAGAGCUUCUGCUAGAAACACUUACUCACUGCCAACCAAAAUGUUCACACCGGGCAGAAACCAUAUAAGUGCCUAGAAUGUGGAAAGAGCUUCUGUCAGAAAACAAGCACUCACUUUCCAUCAAAAAAUUAACACUGGGGAGAAACCAUAUAAGUGCUUAGAAUGUGGAAAGAGCUUCAGCAGAAAACAAGCACUCACUUUCCAUCAAAAAAUUCACACUGGGGAGAAGCCAUAUAAGUGCUUAGAAUGUGGAAAGAGCUUCAGUUGGAAAGUGCAACUCACUGCCCAUCAAAGAAUUCACACUGGGGAGAAACCAUAUAAGUGCUUAGAAUGUGGAAAGAGCUUCAGCAGGAAACAAGCACUCACUUUCCAUCAAUGAAUUCACACUGGGGAGAAACCAUAUAAGUGCUUAGAAUGUGGAAACAGCUUUCGUCUGACUUGCCAUCAAAGAAUUCACACUGGGGAGAAACCAUAUAAGUGGUUGGAAUGUGGAAAGAGCUUCAGGUGGAAACAACAACUCGCUGCCCACCAAAGUAAUCACACUGGGGAGAAACUGUAUAAAUGUUUGGAAUAUGGGAAGAGCUUCUGCUAGAAACACUUACUCACUGCCAACCAAAAUGUUCACACCGGGCAGAAACCAUAUAAGUGCCUAGAAUGUGGAAAGAGCUUCUGUAGGAAACAGCAACUCACUGCCCAUCAAAGUAAUCACACUGGGGAGAAACCGUAUAAAUCCUUGGAAUGUGGAAAGAGUUUCAGCUGGAAAGAGCAACUCACUCCCCAUCAAAGAAUCCACACCGGAGAGAAAGCAUAUAAGUACUUAGAAUGUGGAAAGAGCUUCAUCGGAAGACACAACUGACUGCCCGUCAAACAAUUCACACUGGGGAGAAAGCAUAUAAGUGCUUAGAAUGUGGAAAGAGCUUUGGUUGGAAAAACAUACUCAUUCUACAUCAAAGAAUUCACACCGGGGAGAAACCAUAUGCAUGCGUAGAAUGUGGAAAGAGCUUCUGUCAGAAGAUACAUCUGACUGCCCAUCAAAGAAUUCAUACUGGGGAGAAACCAUAUAAGUGCUUAGAAUGUGGAAAGAGCUUCAACUGGAAAAACAUACACGCAUCCCAUCAAAGAAUUCACACCGGGGAGAGACCAUAUGAGUGUUUAGCGUGUGGAAAGAGCUUCCGUCAGAAGAUGCAUCUGACUUCCCAUCAAAGUAUUCACUCUGGGGAGAAAGCAUAUAAGUGCUUAGAAUGUGGAAAGAGCUUCGGCUGGAAAAACGUACUCACUUCCCAUCAAAGAAUUCACACCGGGGAGAAACCAUAUGAGUGUUUACAAUGUGGAAAGAGCUUCCGUCAGAAGGCACAUAUGACUUCCCAUCAAACAGUUCACUCUCGGGAGAAGCCAUAUAAAUGGCUGGAAUGUGGAAAGGGCUUCACUAGAAAUUCCUCUCUUACUUUGCAUCAAAGUAUUCACACUGGGGAGAAACCAUAGAACUGCUUGGAAUGUGGAAAGAGCUUCUAGUCCCUUUUGUCAUGAAAGAUUUCAGGAAUGGGGAAACCAUAAUAAGUGUAGAACGGGGUUGCCGACCUGUUGCCUGUGACCUUCAGUCGCAUCCCCCAAUGCCCCUGCACUCUGGGAUGUUUGAGAAGCCAUCCUGGCCUUCCUCUGUGUGAUCUUUUCAGGUGACACUGCCCUCAACCAGAACCCAUCUGCCCUUUCUUUGUAGAGUGAAUUCGGAUUUUCCCAAUCUUGGGAAAAUCCUAAAAUAAAAAUACAGAUGCAAUCCACUGCUCCCUGGUUGGUGCUGCUGGUUGCAUUCUCUUUAGCUGAGGUGGAACCAGAAAGAGCUGUGAACUAUUAAUAUGAAGGGGCCUGAGUUUGUCAUGUCCAUUAAUUUCACUGCAUCUACUCUGAGGUGAAAGUUGGGUGCAACCAACGUAUUAGUUUUACGACUUUUUUGUGCAAAUCUGAUAAAUUGGAAAAACUUGUGUUUUUUAACAAAAUAAAUUCAUGCCCACAAUGGACCUCAGAUUUCUAGAGCUUACGGUGGUCAGGGAAGAAAUACUAAUGAAGGGGAGAGAACAACACUCAGGGUUGAAUACAUCCCAUCAAGCACAACCCACUAAUGUGGAGGGGAAAUGUAUUUUGGACACCUAAGCGCCUGGGCCUUCAACAGGUAGGACAAAAGGGUCUGUUUCUAAAAGGACCAGCAGGUAGCCAAGACAGCUUUCAUUGUUUCAAAGAAGUUAGUUUGUAUGUGGUCUAGAAAAAAGAUAGCCUUGUGCUGAACGCCCCUGUCAUUUCAGGUUUUUAAGUAGCUAAGGAGUAAAGUCACUCCAGCGAGAGAGAGGAGACCAGGCUGCGUCUUGGGAGGGGCCCACACUGCUGAACAGCUGCUGCCACUGCCCCACUCACAGCAAGCAAGCUGACCCUGUAAGGAUGAGCAGAGGAAGAAGGCCUCUCAAACCCACCCACAACAGUGGAGUAGUUGUCAUGGGCUGCGCAGAGUCAUCGUCCCUUUCUUUUUGGGGAUGUGCAUCCUACCCGGGUCCCUCUGUUUCCGCAGCCGACUGCAUGACUUUCAAAAGGCCUCUUUCCCCCUCACUGUUGCCACCUGCACAGAACUGCUUGCGAGUGCCUGUAGCACCAACAGCGGCUGCUCCCCGAGAGAGCAAAGCCUUCCGCCUCCCAGUGCAGCAGCAGCACCUCUGCACACCGGCGUUAUUUCCCCCGCCUCAGCCAGCUUUCCUGUACUGAGCAGGAGGGACGCUGGUAGAGGUUGAAUUGCAUGCAGGGUGGAGGAGGAGGAGGAUAUAUAUACACACACACCUGGAGUGAUUUCUCCUCCUUUGUAAACUCCAGCCAGCAUGUUGGUGGGGAAAGGCAUGACUCGCAGCACAACAACAAUAAUAAUAUUAAUAAUAAUAUUAAUAAGAAAUGCUGUACAGGUUGAAGACCAGCCGUGAGGGCUUUGCUAGUGGAGCUCUCUGAUGUUUGUUUUUCCACAGUGAACUGGGCAGGAGGGGAAAUUGGCAGGAACUAGCGCUGCCUCGCUCCGGAUGGACCUAGGCAGACUGGGGCAAAACCACAUAAAUGCCUGGAAUGUGGAAUGAGCAUCAAUACAAAUUCCUGUCUCACUGCCCAUCAAAAAAUUCACACUGAUAAGAAGUCAUAUGAAAGGAAGGGCCUUAGCUGGAAAAGUAAACUUGCUUCCCAUCAAAGAAUUCACAUUCGGGAGUGACCAUAUAAAGGCUUAUCAUGUGGAAAGAGCUUCAGCUAUAAGGAAAAUCUUGCUGUCCAUCAAAAAUUCACACUGGGGAUAUCAGCACUAUAACACUGCUUGGAAUUUGGAGAAAGCUUCAACUACAAGCACAAGUGGGUGGAGCAGCUGCUUUGCAUGCAGAAGGUUGCAGGUUCAAUCGCCAGUGGCAUCUCCAGGUAGCUCUCGGAGAGACUCCUUGUCUGAAACCGUGGAGAGCUGCUGCCAGCCAGUGCAGACAGCAGUGACCUAGAUGGACCCCAGUGCUCUGACUCGGUAUAGGACAGGAGCUCCCCAUCUUCCUGUUCUCUGCAAGGCCUCUUUCCUCCUUGGCUCCCGCUUUGAGCGAUCAUUAGUCUGCCUGAUUUCAUAAGGGUUAAAAUAAAGGAAACCAGAUUGCUAGGGAGGAAGGAUAGAGGAAGUGGUUGGAGGGGAAUCCAUGCUCUUCAAAGGCAAUGCGGUUCCUCUCCCUCGGAAGUCACUUCCGGCCUGGCUCUUUCCUUGGAGAAAAGCAGCACUGCCCCCCUGUCUCUCCCCCAAGGGCUGCUGCAUCGGUGGCCCCUUCUGGGGUCCGGUAAGCCUCCCCUCCCCCGUUGGGCAUUUGGGCGAAGGGGAGUCCCAGAGCUGCGGGGGAGGAUGCAGAGGAGGAAGUGUAAGAAAGGGGAGGAGGAAAUUAGGAGACUCCUUAUGAUUGCAGCCCCUGUCGGUGAAGGCAGAGAAAAGUCUGGAGCCAUAGCAAGGGAGAACUUCACCCUGUAAGGAGGUGGCCCAUGUUGAGCUGACCCUGUCAGGAUCCCCCAUCACAACAUCCACCAUCAGGGAGCAGAGCUUCCUUCCCCCUCCUCUUGAAAAUGAAUUGUACUUAAUGAGAUAUGCAAAUAAUGGUGGUAGACUGCAGCUGGGUGGAGAGGUGGGGUGUUUUUAUCUGGCUGAGGAAUCUGCUUAACAACCGAUGGGCGAAGAAAAAAAUAGGCAAGGCCUUGGUCCCCUGAGUGAAAUCUUGGGGGCAGGGAUCAUAUUGCAAAUGAAUGCUGUUUGAUGGGAGUAGUUUUGGGUGGGAAGUGGAGCUUUCCUAUACAGAAUCAGUGUGCCAGACCUCAGUGUGUUGAAUGACCAGAACUUGAUUCCUAGAGAGGAAGGGAAUUUGGAGGGGCUCUGUGUACCCCAAAGCCCCUUCCUGCCAGGAUCUUAACUUGAGUGAAAGAAAGUGCUGUUUGCCCCAAGCGUGGCAUCGGUGCCCCCCUCUGAAAUCUCAUGAAUCCCCUUCCCCUUUGUGCAUUUGGCUGAAGGGUUUUCCCAGGGCUGCAGGGGAGGGCUCAUAGGAGACCUGUUCAGCUGAUCCAUCCAAAUCAGGGAGGGGACCCUUUUCCUUUCCUCUCUUGGCAAGGCCAAGACACCCCACAGUGAGUGAGGAGAGUGAAAGCAGAUCUUGAAUGCCCCCGUUACUUACACACUAACUGGUGUUAUCACUUGUCAUGAGCCAGGCUGGCAGAGGGCGGAUAGAGGAGGGCGAAACAUGAUGAGGAACCCGGAGAGGGAGCAAGCAGAGGGGUGGACUCACAGGGCGACUCAACCCCUGUCUUUGACAGCUCAGCCCCAGACUCCCCUAUUGAAGCACCGCCUGGCCCAACUGAACAUGCCCAUGGUGCCCACACCAGACACUCAGCAUUGCACUUCAGAUGUUUCCCAGCUGAGUGCUGCCCAGCUUCCCACAGCCGAACGGACAUCUAGCAGCCCCCUUCAGUCGGAGAGGGAAGCUGAGAUUAAACCACCUUCACCCUGCGCUGGGAGGCGCUUCAGGUGGAAAGUUCAACAGUUAGAACUGAGGCAGAGCCUUUGUUUGCACGUUGAAUCCAGGCCUACUUAAACUGACUUGGGGGGGACCCGGAUGCCGAGUCAAUGUCUUGGAGUCGUGAAGCUGUGCUUAUUUAGCGCUAGAGCAGAGGAAAGUUCUUAGAAAGAGCAGUUAGUUUAAUGAGGUGCACAGCUUCUGUCUAUAGCUUUAAUAACAAGAGAAAGCACCAGAGCCGUGUCUGUCUCUGACACCUUCGAUUUCAGGCAUGACAUCACUCCUACCUCCUUCCUACCCUCCCCCUGAUCUCUGCAAGGCCAAGACACCACUUUAAGUGAGGAGGGAUUGAAAGUAGGUCUCUGAACGCCCCCAUUACUCACGCACUGACUGGUGUCAUCACUCUUCCUGGCUGACACACGUGGGCCCAUCCAGGCUGGCAACUCCUGGGAUGCAGAAGGGAUCUUUCAACAUUGAAUGGAAAGCGCUACUCGAAAAGUGGCAACCUUUGAAUCAAAGGAAUCAACUUCAG
Rhineura floridana is the source of this 7274-nucleotide RNA transcript. It is a transcript of the gene named zinc finger protein 570-like, with no coding region annotated. The transcript has 4 exons. Lineage: Eukaryota; Metazoa; Chordata; Lepidosauria; Squamata; Rhineuridae. The record is from RefSeq and is a predicted model, not a curated record.